This is a long non-coding RNA of Acromyrmex echinatior (Panamanian leafcutter ant), 388 nucleotides long. The record is from RefSeq and is a predicted model, not a curated record. Lineage: Eukaryota; Metazoa; Arthropoda; Insecta; Hymenoptera; Formicidae.
CCAUCUUCGGGGUGACAUUAGGAGGAGGAGGCUUGCCAGUUUCCUGCUGCACGUUGGAACAAACGAAGAACGAUUAGAACUGAUUGCCGAAGGAAACGAGAAUUUCGCUCGAUCUUUCCGUCCAUCUAUUGGAGCACACGCUUCGCUGUCCUAGUUCGGACCAGACCGAGACUCGCCGAGGCUUGCGCCGUCAAGGCCGUUCAUCCGCGAGUCCUCAGAACGACCAGAGACAACGGUACUUCCACUCCGCGUCGAUCGAACUUGCUUGUCGAUCGCUGAUGCUUGCACUUAGAGUCCACAGGAGUCUCAGAAUCUUCAAAAUUGCCGUCAGAAAUUUCCUCGCCACACUAAACCUUUCUUAAUUAAAGAUUUAGUAUUCUUCUUGAAA